This 430-nucleotide ribosomal RNA is filed under the name Bacteroidota bacterium. Its description in RNAcentral is "Bacteroidetes bacterium partial 16S ribosomal RNA". It matches the Rfam family "Bacterial small subunit ribosomal RNA", at positions 355 to 776 of the family's 1533-position model. The record is from RNAcentral. Lineage: Bacteria; Pseudomonadati; Bacteroidota.
UAGGGAAUCUUCGGCAAUGGGGGGAACCCUGACCGAGCAACGCCGCGUGAGUGAAGAAGGUUUUCGGAUCGUAAAGCUCUGUUGUUAAGGAAGAACGAGUGUGAGAAUGGAAAGUUCAUGCUGUGACGGUAGUUAACCAGAAAGGGACGGCUAACUACGUGCCAGCAGCCGCGGUAAUACGUAGGUCCCGAGCGUUGUCCGGAUUUAUUGGGCGUAAAGCGAGCGCAGGCGGUCAAUUAAGUCUGAUGUGAAAGCCCCCGGCUCAACCGGGGAGGGUCAUUGGAAACUGGUUGACGUGAGUGCAGAAGAGGAGAGUGGAAUUCCAUGUGUAGCGGUGAAAUGCGUAGAUAUAUGGAGGAACACCAGUGGCGAAGGCGACUCUCUGGUCUGUAACUGACGCUGAGGUUCGAAAGCGUGGGUAGCAAACAGG